RNAcentral lists this long non-coding RNA (11353 nucleotides) under Zea mays. Its description in RNAcentral is "long non-coding RNA (ZMAY_LNC000026)". The record is from RNAcentral. Lineage: Eukaryota; Viridiplantae; Streptophyta; Magnoliopsida; Poales; Poaceae.
AAAAGAAAGCCAACUCUUGGAUGAGCAUCAAGCUGCAGGAUCAAAAGAAAAAGUGCUCAUCAAAGAAAGGAACAAGAGAACAAAGCAACUAAGGAGAAGACGCAUUGCUCAACCUUCUCAAGAUAUCCACGGGAGCGUGGUGAAGAAGCUUGAGAUGGGAAAAACUGCAGCAAGUGUUAAGCUCCAUAAGAAGGAUGUUCCUAAAGCAAAAAAUGAAGAAAUCAACAUGAACUUGGAAAAAGGUAAAGAUUCAAUUAGUCAUGUUGUUUGCACUGACCAUUUCUCUAUGUCAUCCAAGAACAAAAAGAGAAAAGGGAAAAGGAGGUGCUUUAAGUGCAAUAAGUCAGGACACCUCAUUGCGUUGUGUCCAUACAACGACAAGGAUGAAGGGAUAAGGAGAUGCUUCGGAUGCAAUGACAAGAACCAUACGAUCACUUCUUGUCCGCUAAUGACAAAUCAAGCACGUGCACUCUUCGGGAUAAACCCCACUAAGAAAGAAGACAAACAACAAGCGUCAUGUCAGGUUAAGCGACGCUUCUGCUAUAAGUGUGGUGAGCAGGGUCAUCUAUCCAAGGUAUGUAAAAAGGGUAAGGUUCCUAAGCAAGUAAAUAUAUCUCAAUCUUAUUCACUUAGGAGACCCAAACCAUACACUUGUGCUAGAUCAAUAAUGAGAUCACCUAGAACUAGCACAAUUGCUAUUUGGGUACCAAAAGCUCCUAUGGAUGAUCGUUAUGGACCCAUCCUGAGAUGGGUACCAAAUUGUACCAACUAGACCAUGCAGGUGCCUCGAGAUGAACUGGAGACCAUGGGAGAGCUUAAGAUGGUUAAUUCAAACUCUAUGCUUAAGUUGUCAAUUCUACUAUCUAUUUAUUGACCCAAGGUUGAAUUAUUGUGCAAUACUAAUCCCAUGUUCAUCUUGAGUAAAAUAAGUUGUAGAGGUCUUUGAUCAUUAUUGGUGAAUCAAGCAAAGGACCUUGAUGAGAAUAUGCAACGUGCUCUCCAAAGGACGGUACCCGUGUAUUAUAAGUACAUUAUUGCAAAUCAGUAUUGCUCUGAAGUUUGAUCUGUCCUCGGAGUAGUUAUUCUUUUGAGAUUGCUUGUGUUGAAUACUUUUUGAUCAUUGAUUCAUGAUUUCAAAGAUCACAUUGAUGCCUGUUUAAUCAUGAUUUUGUGUUAUAUCUCUUGAAUCAUUCAAUUAGUAGCUUAUCAUUUGAUAUAUUUACCAUGAUUAACUCUUUAUGUGUUCAUGGAUAAACCUGUAUCCUUUUGUAAGACAUGCUAUUGUCUUUAAUGAUUAACCUAUGUGCAAGCAUGACAUCUUGUUUAGUCCAUGUUCACAUGAUUACCCUAUUUUGGUACUAUGUGUAUACCAAAUCCAUGUUGUGCCUCUAAUGCACCUUCUUGAGCUAUGAAGUGCAUAAGCAAUAGGAGACCUAAAUUGGUGACAACGAGUGCUCUCAUGGCAAGGAAAAGGUAUGGAAAAUGGAACUAUGCAAUCUCAUUGAAAAUCUUGAAGUUCCAUUAAUUGUGAUCAUAGCUAUGUUCUCACCUUUGAAUUGGUAGUAUAUUGGCUUAGGUGCGCUCUCUUUAAAAUGUUGUUUCUAAUCGGUGUACCUAAGAAACCUUCUUAAUCAUGGUGUGCUUAGGCAUUGUAUGCAUGGUCUUGUAGUUUUCAAUUGGUAUAUGUGUUGCAAUGAUCAUCGUGUGUGAAGCGUGCCUAGGUUGCUUGUUAUAUUCCUUGAGGCAUGCAUUGUUUCCACUAGUCAUAAGUUGUAUUAUGUCAUCUAUCCAAUUGGUAUCUCUCUGUGAUGAAAUUGAUAGAUUAUGUCUAGACCAAGAUAUGUUGUGAUCCCCUCCAGUUCUGAGGAUGCUAGAAUGUGCAAAGUACAGGUCAUUCAAAUACUUGUUGCACAACUUUAGGGGGAGCACACAUAACUUGUGUCUUUUGAGACUAAUUGUUUCUUGAGUGAUCUUGUAUAGUCUCAAGGUGAAGAAGGGAAGAUGAGUAAUAAAUGAAGCAAUCAGGACUUGGGUACCUCUGUAAGUCAAGUAUUUGGUAUCUUAAGUUAUGAGAAAUUGCAUAUUUUUAGAUUGCUCGUGCUCUAUAAUAUUUAGUGAUACUAGAUGCUUAUCUUCAAAUAUCAUGGAGCUAUGACAGUAAUGAUCUUUCAAUUAGUAGCCUUGAUAGUAUGCUUAAGUUGAUAUCUCUUGGUAAUCACUAGAAUAUGAACUUCAUCUUGUGUUGCAAUACUAUAACUUGUUCUAAGUUUGGUGUCUUAGCAACAAGAAAAGGUUAGGAAAAAGGAUCAGGCACAAGUGUGGAGGAGCCUCCUAGAGAUUAAACUCUCAAGAUGGAAAGUACAUCACAACAUGGUUAAGGUACAAAAGGAAGUAUUGAUCUUUUGCUCAUAUGUAUCUUAAUUUUUCUCCAAUGCUUGUGGUGCAUAUGUUUAAUGAGUAAGGGGGAGUAUUGUUAGUGUGUUUGGCCUGCUUAAUACCCUGUUGUCCCUUGACAUCAUCCUAUACUCUUGCUUGAAUGUGGUUUUGGUGGUUGAUGUCAAAGGGGGAGAAUUUUGUGCAUUAAAGCUUAGGUUUCCUUGAGUUCCUUGGAUCUUAAGGAAGGAUGUGUUAGUUUGUGGUAUUGAUAAUUCUUAUCAUAUGCUUCUUGUUGUAUUAUAUGGUGAUGAUGCAAAACUAGUGCUUCCGCUGCUAUGAAUUAAUUGGCAUCUAUAGUAGUUAUCCUGUAAUAGAUAUUCAUGUGGGUAAUGGUGCGUGUGGUUAAUGGUGCUUUAAAAUUGCUUUAAAUUGAAUUGCUUUAAAUUGGUAUCUUAAUGGUGAAUAGUGGUAGGUUGAUAUUCCUGUGAUAUAUCCACUCAAUUGAUUGGUGUUUAACUCUGAUUCUGUGCAUUUGUAUGUUAUACGCAUCAUGGUUUGAUACUUGACACAAUGCAUCCCACAUGUGCUAAGGUAUAGUAAUGCUUUGAAUUAGCCUAAGUAUGUGCAAUUUGGCAUAAAGGGCCAAAUUUAAGAUUUUGAUGUAAGCACAUAUUCAGGGGGAGCAUCCUAUAAACUUAGAAUUCAAAAUUUGUGCUUUAAAUUUUAUUCUUAUGUAAGCUUUAAUUGUGUUGCCAUCAAUCACCAAAAAGGGGGAGAUUGAAAGCUCUCUUGUGGGUUUUGGUGUUUGGGAUGACAACCCAAUUAAAGGACUAACAAGUGUGUUAAGUGUUGAACAGGUGCUGAAUGCAAAGCUAACAGGGUUCAACUCAAGUAAAUAGGUGUGAUGGUCCAAAGACGGAAUUAUCUAUAGAUAAUGGACAUCAUAGGAAAGGUGGAUAAUGCUUAAGUGAGACUUGAUGUGCAUAACUUGGAGACAACUGAUCAAACCAAGGAUGAAAGCAAGAAGAGCUUCGAGGUACCGAGUGCACGGGAGAAAGUCAAGGAGACCAGGAACCCAAAGCCAGGGGUGAAGAAGGAGACUUGCGGAAUCAGGGUUGAUCGAGUUAAGAAGAGUUAUGGUGCAUCAAGGAACACUACAUAAGGACAUGACUUACAACCAAUGAGGUAACAUCUACAAUUAUGUGGUAUAAGUCAUAAGGCUCAAGACCAAGCUCAAAAGGGAACAAGGUCACUGGAAGGAGAACAAAUGUCCAAAUCAGAAUCGGAAGCAGCCCAAAAGAGCUAAGUGCACCUUGACCUUUAGUUUGGGUUGUUCCUAUGUUUGUAGAUAUUCUAUGUGACCUUUGCAGGAUGUUGGAGCUCAGAAAUGACAAUCUAGAUCAAGUCAAGCUGACUUGAUGAUUUAUGAGUCCAACAUCAAUCUCAGUCAUGCCAAAUGCUAAAGAAGUGAAAAUCAAAGAGAAGGCAUGUUUCUAGACUUAGUACAUUGGUUUUUGUGUACUAACAUAUUUGUCUAAGUGUUAGAAAUAGAAAGAAGAAGAAAAGAAGAGAAAAUACAAAAGGAAAAAGACUUGGCUGGAGCAGCCAAGACUCUACGCAGUCUGGGUGCACCGGACUGUCCGGUGGUGCACCGGACUGUCCGGUGGUGCAGGCUGGCGUCUGGUCAACUGGCCGCUCCCGGGAAUUCGUCGACAGCGUUCGGCUAAAAAUCACCGGACUGUCCGGUGGUGCACCGGACUGUCCGGUGAGCCAACGGUCGGCCGCGCCAAGGGUCGGCCGCGCAAUCCGUGCAUGACGCGUGGACGAGCCAACGGUCUGAUGGGUGCACCAGAGUGUCCGGUGUGCACCGGACAGUGUCCGGUGCGCCAACGGCUCCAAGUCUACAAUGAUCGACAGCGCCAAUUUAGGAAGGAGAUCCGCACCGGACAGUGAACAGUGGAUGUCCGGUGGUUCACCGGACUGUCCGGUGCACCACCCGACUGAAGGCAAGAAUUGCCUUCCUGGAUUGCUUCCAACGGCUCCUAGGCCACUUGGGCCUAUAAAAGGGACCUCUAGGCGCCUCAAACAGAACACAAGUGCAGCCAACAAGUGUAGACAUCACGCAGAUCAAUUCUCUCUCUCCCUCUUGUGUGAAUCUCUCUAGUUUGUGUAGAAGGCAAAGCUAUAAGCCUUUAGAGAGUGGAGAAGUGCUACUACGAGCUAGAACAUAGUCUUGAGCGUAUCGUUACUCUGCCGGAGUGCUGCCAAGAAGAUUGUAAGCAGCCGCGGUUUCGUUGUAACCAACUCAACAUAGUGGAAGGCUCUAUCUGUCAUACUGACAGAUCUGAGCAAACGGAGGAAGGAGUUGAAAUAGACUCCAAGCCGAGGUGUGGCUAACUCCAACGAGGACUAGGCAAGCAUUUCAGGCUUGGCCGAACCUCAGGAUAAAUCCCUGUGUCUGUGUGCUUCGCUCUGUAUUGUGUGCUGUCUCUCUAUCUUAUUCACUUUUUAUAUCUGCACUUCAACACUUAUCUGUGGUACAAGUUAUAUUUGAAGUGCAGGGCAUUUUGAGACAGGAACUUCUAUUCCGCUGCAACCUACUCGAAGGGUCUUUCAUUCCACUGCGAUCUGGUCUUCGAGUAGAGUAAGAACUAAAGUUUUAAAGUGAUAAUUUUUAUUCGCCUAUUCACCCCCCCUCUAGGCGACAUCCAGAUCCUAUUACCGGGCAAAGGGAACUUUCAAUAAUUUAGAUUAAAGUUGAAUUAAUUACUACCAUAGGUUAUCUUUUCUCUAGGAUUAUAAAAUAAACAUAGAACCUAGUUAAUCAUUUAAUCACAUUAUAACUUGAUGACGUAACUCUGAUUUUAGUGGUUCUCGUUCCCACGAUCUCGUAGCAACGCGUAGAUUAUUAUUAUGAAGUUUGUUCUUAUGUUUGGUGUGAUGUUAAUUUUGUCUAUAACAUGUUUGUUUGUAUUGCUACGACUAGCAGUGAGGUCACAAGGAUAUGAAGAAUCACCUUGGUAACUGGAAUCUCAAGUGCCAAGCAAGUUGUGCCCUUGAUCCACUUUUAUUACCCAAUAAUGUUGUUUAUUAUCACUAUUCAAUGCAUAGGUUUAAUUUUGAUGGGACCCAAUAGGUCGCCCUAGUCUGUUUAUCCUUUUACCUUAUUUAUCCCUGAAUCACUUGGGUAGUUGUGCUAUUGCUCUAUAUGGUUUUGGGAUAAUAUUUCAUUAUAUCCAUGUUCCUAUUAUUCUGUUAUGUUAUUUAUGUUCAUGAUAAGAUCAUUAUGUCAAUGGGAACAUGGAGAACCACCCGGGAAAACAGUGCUACCACAAGGGUUUAAUGGGACGCCCUUGGCUGAUUAACUAGGAAAGCUAGUGGAUGACUACCUUACCCGAAAGGGGCAAGGGCAGUGGUCAGUGUAGGGAGGUCCUUGGGUUGAUUUUGCUGCGAUGGCGAUCAGGCGAGGGAUUCCUGCACUGGAGCUUCCUAUAAACUGUAGCGGGUUUUCUGAAGCUAGUGGAACUUUGUAAAGGCCUCGUAGUGUUACCCUGCCUUGCUUCCUUGGUAGAGGUGUAUGGGAUUCAUGACCCCUUGGCAGAUGGGUAACACGGCUUGUGGGUAAAGAUGCGCAACCUCUGCAGAGUGUAAAACUGGUAUACUAGCCGUGCUCACGGUCAUGAGCGGCUUGGACACUCACAUGAUUAAUUUAUGGAACCUAAACUCAAUUUGUCAUUUCAUUGCAUUGGGAUUAUUUUGUUAUUACUUUUACUUAUUAUUCAUUAUGGUUUGGUAUUUACUUACACUUAGUAACUGCUAAUAAAAUUUUGACCAACUUAUAAAAGCAAUGCUCAGCUUCAACCUUUAUUUUGUUGAUCAGCCUUACACUUCACAUGAACUCCCACCUUUGGUGAGUUCAUGCCACAUUAUUCCCCACAACUUGUUGAGCGAUGAACAUGUGUGAGCUCACCCUUGCUGUCUCACACCCCCCACAGGUCAAAGACAGGUACCACAGGAUGAGGCGCAUGGAAGAUGCUGCGCUAUGUUCAUGAGAGGUCUAGGUCGUCGUCUCCCAGUUGACUUUCUGGCGCCAAGGAUGGAUUUUGGAUCCUGUUAUAUUUAUCUUUUAUUUUUAUAAGUCUUCCGCUAUGUAAUAAAUACUCUGAUUAUAUUGUGACAUUUAUCUCUAUACACUCUGUUAUUAUAUAUGUUGUCUUCUUUGGCGCAUGUAUGAGAUGCACCCGGCUUUGUCCCUUAAAGCCCGGGGUGUUACACAGACUCCGCCUCCACGCAUUUGAUCGAUUAUGUUAGUGAUUUGAGCUCCGUUUGAGUUGCGAACUCUCUAUGCUGUGUUUCGAGCUCAAGUCUUGGCUUGUGUGCGUGUGUGUUCUGCUGAUUUGGGUCUUGUGUGUGUUGCUCUCCCAUCCUUACUCUUGUGCUUUCUCUGUGAUCUAUAUUGUAAGGGCGAGAGGCUCCAACCUGUGGAGAUUCCUCGCAAACGGGAAGUAUACUCAAAAGAGAAAAGACCGUGGUAUUCAAGUUGAUCUUUGGAUCACUUGAAAGGGGUUGAGUGCAACCCUCAUCCAUUAGGACGUCACAACGUGGAAGUAGGCAAGUAUUACUUAGCUGAACUAUGGGAUAAAAAUCGCGUGUCUCUUGUGUCGCUUUUCUUGUUAUUGUUUGUUCAUAAGAGAUCGUCUCAUAGCCACUUGAUUAACUAGCGCUAACAUUUCUAUAUUCUAGUUUGUGGCUAUUUAGUGUUUGAUUUUACACGAUCACCUAUUUACCCCCCUCUAGGUGCUCUCAAUUGGUAUCAGAGCCGUACUCUUCACUUAAAGGUCUAACUGUCCAAAGAGAUGGAUCCUAAGGGUAAGGGGAUGGUGGUCAACGACAAGGAGAAGGAGUCCCUCUUCAACAAGCCAAGAGACGACAAGCCCACUGACUCAGGCUCGAGUCACAAGAAGAGGGACGAGAAGAAGAAGAGGCGCAUCAAGAAGAUCAUCUACUACGACAACGACGCCUCCUCUUCUUCACCAAGGGACGACGACGACGACAAUGACUCCUCGUCCAAGAAAAAGACAGUUAAUCAAAAUCAUUCUUUUGAUUAUUCUCGCAUUCCCUAUAAUUCAAAUGAGCAUUUACUAUGAAUUCCCCUUGGAAAACCUCUGUGGUAGCCCUCCCAAGUUAUCGGGCCCACGUGCACCAAUCCUUGCCUUGAUGGCCUCAGAUGGCUAUGCACGUGUACCAGGUAACUUAACAAGGCUAUCACGAGUUCAACAACUUGAACUCAUCAUCCUAAGGAUCUCCCACCAUACAUGCAUAUUACAGUAAUCACAUUCGAUACACACACACUUCGGAGAUAAGAGCGGAAGACUUUACAAAACAUUCUUUUUAUUUCUAAAACUGAAGGUUACUACAUAGAAAGAGUUACAUUUAUUACAAGUCCUGAUAUACUCAAAGUGCAUAACUUAUUACAAUAGCAGGAAGGUAGGAACCCUCCAAAGCCUAUACACAAGCCUAACUAAUCUUCCUCCAGAACUGGAAACGCCCUCCAGCCACAGGAACACCUAGAGUACUCCUCAUCACCUACAACAACAUGGGUUCAAAACCCUGAGUACGGAGUGUAUUUUCACAAGUCUUACCCGACUAAGGAAAAAGACUCUCAAGGAUAUGCUGGUUAAAUAGGAAUCAAGGAAAAGGCUUUAGCAAGAAUCAAAUUAGAUACUUUUGCAGAAAUAGCUUACUAAAGUGAGUCCUUACUUUCAAUAUUUUAAUGCCAAAUUAAAUAUUAAUAGACUCUAGUUGCAUCUAGUCAAAUUUCACCAUCUCAUCAAUACAACAUCAUUUUUAUUCAUAAUGUUUACAUCCUGACCUAGGUUGCAGGUCAGAGAUCAAGUCUCCACUCUCCGGGGAUAUAACGGCGAUCCGAAUCGAUUUACUCAGCUGAGGAUCUCUAACCACAUGACAUAUGUUUCUCGUAACUCUUGCAUAUGUCUACCAUUCCCACGGAUCCUCCACUGCAUGAACAGGUCCGCGCCACCUGAGAGCACACCACCCCUUUUAGGCGGUCCUUUGCCAGGAGGGUACGUGCCACUCUCGCCAUCUCUCCACUCCCAGUGCGCGAUUGUCUUUUCAUGUAUGGAAUAGCCGGGUUCAAGCUUACCCUGUCCCAUAUCCAGGGCAUGUGGCCAGUUAAGAUAGUCCUUGAUCAUACAGGCCUACAUACGCAUCCAAUCCUUAAUUAACCUGGGUGGAGCAUCACCUGUUCCUAGCCCAAGUCUCGAUUUAAGUACUUCCAUCCUUAGGAUUGUUUUGGGUUCCUUAGGAUGAAAAGAGCAUUAUAAGGAACUUUGCAGUAAGAUCCCACCAUACGCUCCCAAUGAAAAUAUUCUUGCAGGUAGAAGCCAUCCUUCCUCAGGAUAACCCCUGAGCUAGGCAUUAUUUCAAAAGACAACCUCUAUUCACAAGAUCUAAGCAGGGCUAAGCAUUUUUGUAAAUCAUAUUUUGAUACUCCAUCAGGAGUAUCUAUAAAGGCAUGGAUAUCAAGGUAGGCAAUGCAUCAAAUAGUUUCCAAGCAACUCCUAUAAACUUAAUGCACAUUUCACUAGACUUAAAGUGUAUAAAAGUCAUUUAAAAUACAAGGAAGGGGCAAAUGCACCGGGGCUUGCCUUAUUGCAGUGAAGAGGUUCUAGAUCUUCUACCCAAUAACCAGUUAGAUAGCUCCAUCCACUUGAUGAACAGGCACUGGAGAAAACUCCUCUUCCACGACCACUUCAUCUUUAAUUUACACUCCUUCUGCUGGGAGCUCUACAUGAAAUGAUAUGAACAUGAAUGCUUAUGCUUCUUGCAAAUAAAAUACUAUAAAACAUCACAAGACUUACACCUCUUUAAAUAGCACACAAAAACUAACAAAACCUUAAGAGAGCUAAAUACUCUAAUAUCACAACUCAAUCAUACUAGGGUAGCCAGCAAGGAUGAGGUGAUAUUCUUCAUUUACUCCAAUAUAGACACUAGUUUACUAAACCAGCCAUCACAGCUGCACUACACCCACAUACACAUGCAAAACACAGGGAGAGAGUGAUCUUCUUCAGUCAAUCAACCAGACACUGAAUCCACCUCUAAUACCCAAUUGUAUAUGUCCCUGUUCAGCCCCACUUUUUCCUUGUUUCUGCUAGGGACAGACCAUACCAAACCUGUUCACUAACUAAAGCUCUUCAAGUUUGUUACAAGAAUCUAAGACCCAAACUGCAUGUACUACAAGUUAAGGUGUCCAAAAUUCAGCCACCUUCCACUAAAUUUGUUUUUAGUUUUCUGAAACAGACAUCUCACACAGACUGACAGAAGAAAUUUCGGCACAUUUUACUCUAAAUUUUAUACAGCUCCAAACUUAUUUCUCUGUAAGAAACUUGUUCACCCAACACAUCUACAAAUCUCUUCUAUAAGGUCUUUAGCUUAUAACCAUACAUAUCAAGCGUUAGGGUGCAUUAAAGUUGAGCAAACACACGGAAAAUCCAUUUUCCCAAUCUGAAACAGCACAUUACUAGGUCUGACAGAGAGUUUUGUCACUCCUUUUUCUCCAAAUUCUACACAGUAGCAAGCCAACACUUUGCAUGAGACUUGCCCUCCUUUACAUGGUCUUUCACUUUGCUAUAGCAUUCUUACCCCAAUUCUUCUUGGAUUAAUUACCACAAGGACCCAAAUUUGAAUAAAAACACACAAAUUCAGACUUAAAUAUUAUUCUAAGUCUGAAUCCCAACUCUUGACAGUCCACCUUUUGGCCACUUUUACUCCCAAAUUUAUGUGGAACCAAGUCCACCUCACUUUAUAAAACUUGCUCUCUUUACUAUGGUCUCCAACUUUGCUAUGGAAACUUUAAUCCAAAACCCCAUGAAUCAGUCACUAAUGAACUCCAAACUAGGCAUCCUGUUGCAAUUCAGUUCUCAGAACUGAAUAACAAAAUUCAGUUAUGUACAGUCUGACGGUCCAACUUUAGCCAACCUUUUCUCUAAUUUUUACACAGCAACAGACCAAGCCCACAUUACCAAAAUUAUUCCUUAGAUAUAGCUCUACUAUUUUGGUAUAGCACCCUAGGUUGAAAACAUUCAGAACAAUUUUUAUGAAGCACCAAAGUAGAGCCAAAACCACUGCAACUCCAUUUUUAGUGUUCUGAAUCAGCAUUCAUUAAGUCUGAUAGAGAAGAUUUGGACAUGUUUUACUCCCAAUUUUGUGUAGCACCAAGCCCAUGUCCCUUUAGUAAUUUUGUUCAUCUUACUACGGUCUUCGAACUUGCUAUGGAACUUUGGCCCAAAACAAAAUAUACUGGGCACAAUAGAGCUCCAAAGUCGAGCUCAACACACUAAAACCUAGUUUCAGCCUUCUGCACUAAGUCUGUGAUCCAGAAACCUGAAAGCCUAUCUUUGAACAAAUUUUACACCUAGCUCCCAGCAACAGACAAUGGUAGAGUACAAGUAGUAAAUGGUGUGAGCUUCACUGACCUUUGCCGAGCAUGGAACAAGUAGUACACAACCAAGAAUACUUGUGGGAAACCUUGUCCACGGGGAGGUGAAGAACGGGUGGGUUUGGUCACCACAGACAAGAGGUUGGCAUUUAGCUCUGGGGUAAAGCAAACUUGGUGGCUGAGAAAGGUUUACACCUGCUGAACACAGGGAUUCCAAUCCUUUGUAGUGGUCUGAGGAUAGAGCUUGAGAAUUGGAGACAACCUUCACUGAACUAGGCCUUUUAAGGCUGCUGAACUGGGCAGAUGUCCCUGAACUGGACCAACAUGCUGUGGAGGGUUACUUCGCAAGUUGCCAGCAAUAUAGGAGCUAGCCAACGUGGCUUUCAUGCAUCCACUGCACCAAGUUCACAGCCCCCAAUUUAACACCGAAUCUAGUCAGCUAACACACAAAUAUCCCUUGUGGAUAUGCUCUAACAGCCCAAAAUAUCAACCUUAUUCAGUGAACACAGACAGGCAGGC